UGUUAUUUGAUGUGCCAGAUCGAGGACAGUCUAGACAAAUCCCAUCUGGAAAUGCUGGAACUUCGACUAAGAAAUCCGAAGAAAAAAGAGUUUCUGCUAGCAAGCCAGUGGCUCGAGCACAGGCUAAGGUUCCGUUUGAGAAGGGUUAUAGCCAAAUGGAUUGUCUUAAACUUACUCAAAAACACCAUGAUCUUGCAGGAUUCAUCAUGUUGUCAUCGCUCAUUGUGCAAACAUCGAUUGAGAAGCAUGCGCACCCCGUGAGAUUCUCUUUAUGAUACAGCCUACUAAUGAACGCGUUGUUUAUUCCAAGAGCCACUACCGCGUUGAUAUACUGCUGAAGGCAGUAGGAAAAGACUGCGCAUCUUUAUUCAGUAUCCUUUUCUGGAUUUUCUUUUUCUUGGAGAAUUUUAGAGGGUGUAGCUGAAGAUCAGAUUGGACCGGAUAAUCAUCCCUUGUGAAACAUCAAUUUUUUUCAUGCUGUGCAAAAAUGAGCAAGCUUGAAAGAUGAAUUCAUUUCAAUCCAAUUUGAAAUUGUUAAGAUUUAUGUGGUUUUAUUUUUUCUUUGAAGCUAUAUUUAUAGUCAAUGCCCCUAAAACGAGUUAUAUUCUGCUCACCAACGAACUUACUAACCAUGGUCAAGCUCGAUCCAUGGGGAAGUCUUAUCAGUUCAUCUUAACCCGCUUGCCUUUCUUGCUUAAUUAAGAAGCUGUCCUUCAAGAUUUUCCUUCCGAUGGGGAGAAAGGGAACAGAUUUUCAACGCAUGAACAGGCUUUUUUUCCCUUGUGACUGUUGAGCUUCUCUGCCCAGAUUGCAAUCCUUCAUUUCAGACAAUUACCAUGCCUGGGUGAAUGCUGAAUUCUUGCUAGAGAAGUGUCUUGUGGGCACUUUGGAUGCAAGUCAGUGAAGACAGUUAUAUCUUGGAUUUCAUAAGUGGACCUUGGCCACAUCGGCAUGAUCAUCAUAUGAAGUAGAGUUCCUUCUGUAAUUUUCCUAUUGAGGCUUAUCAUGGCAACGAUGCGCUCACAUUUUUUGGAUAGGGGGCAACAACACCAAAUCAGUUGUAUUCUUAUGUACAAAAUAUUCUUCUGUGACAGAAAUGUAUUUUGACUUUAGCGAUAUGAUAAAUAAUAAUGUUCAUACAUGAAAUUACUUC
Populus euphratica (Euphrates poplar) is the source of this 1153-nucleotide long non-coding RNA. RefSeq lists it as uncharacterized. NCBI's taxonomy places the organism in Eukaryota, Viridiplantae, Streptophyta, Magnoliopsida, Malpighiales, Salicaceae. The record is from RefSeq and is a predicted model, not a curated record. The transcript is spliced from 3 exons.